This 153-nucleotide ribosomal RNA is filed under the name uncultured archaeon. RNAcentral's name for it is "partial 16S ribosomal RNA". It matches the Rfam family "Archaeal small subunit ribosomal RNA", at positions 323 to 476 of the family's 1478-position model. The record is from RNAcentral.
UGACGGGGUGCAGCAGGCGCGAAAACUUUACAAUGCGGGAAACCGUGAUAAGGGGACACCGAGUGCUAGCAUCAUAUGCUGGCUGUCCAGGUGUGUAAAAUACACCUGUUAGCAAGGGCCGGGCAAGACCGGUGCCAGCCGCCGCGGUAAUAC